UGGCUGAAAGCAAUUAUGGUACGGUGCUACAUUUGCACCAUAACUAGAUCCAUCAAUUUCUACCCUUAUAAGUAUAGACUCCACUCCUCUUUUCAAGUUAAUGUUUAGAUUGAUCAAUAAAUAAACUCGAUUCAUCAAUCUCAACAUUAUAAUAACAAUAUAAGUAGAGAAUUAUUACGCAUGAUAACAAGUGGUGAUGAAUCAUAAAUGAACACUUAAAAUGAUGCACGACUAGUGUGUAAUUUUCUUUUUUAAAAUUUAAGAAUAAAAAUAUUAAAAGUGAAGAGGGGGGAGGGGUUUGGUGAGCAAAAGGGUUAAUAUAAAAAUGGGUUGUGGUAGGUAAUGAGAUGUGCGAUUGGUUGAAAGCCAGUCCUCCUAAUAAUGAAAUAAGCCAUGACGUUUCUUAUUAAAACGUCGGCAUUUCCUUGCCACUCCUCCUUGGCCCUACUCUUAUUUAUAUACGUACCCUUUUGAAGAUAAUAACAAUAAUAAUAAUUUGACACUUUGAAGCUAAUCAUAGCUAUUGAUAAGGAUCGCAUUACUACUUUGAUAUAGAUAUGUGUGUAACGUACUAAUGUAAUGUUGCAUGUAUUAACAAAUUAAUAGAUAUAUAUAUAUAUAUAUAUGUAGGUAUGUUGUGUGAGCGUGACAUUGCUAAAGAUGGAUUUAAAAUAACGAAAUUGACUUUUGAUAAAUGUUCAUGAUCAUUUAUAAGGUUUUAUGUACCAGUUGGGCAUUCAUAAUGUUUUGCGUCUUCAUAUACGUUAUUUUAAUUUGUAAUUUAGAAAUAAUUUUUGAUGAAUUGAAAAUAAUUUUAUUAAGAUAGUUUCAUUUAUCAUCACUUUCUUUUUUUUCUUUAAAACAAAAAAAAAACAUUUAAAAAGAUCCUCUAUAAGAAGCAUAUAGUAAUCACUUAUUUAGGAAGGACUUAAAGCUUUAUGUGUAUAAAAGAUGUUAAUUAUUUCAAUCAAUUACUUAUUAUUAUUACUUUUGGGGGGGGGGGGGGAUGCUACCUUUAUUAUAAUGUUAAGGAUUUGAACUAAGUUAUUAUUUUUAUUUUUGAAAAAAAUACUACCUUUAUCAUACGGUUAAGGUAUUUGGUAUUAAGAUUAGGUAGUUAUAAAUUAAAAGUUAUAACACUAAAGUAUUUGAUAAAUAUUAACAAGCACUAAAAUUAACUUUCAGAUCUCUAAAAAGCAAUCUCAAAUGGGCUCUUAAUGCAAUAAUAAAAAACACACUGCUAAAGAUAAACAUUUAUAAAUUAAAACUAAUUAAUUAAUUUGUUAAAAGCAUCGCGUUUACUUUGUAACAAAGUAUUUUUUUUUAAUUACUGUUUUAACACAAGAGAUAAAAAGUAUAUGGGACACCAAAGAGAUGAAACUUUCUUUUGUUUUUCCAAAUCAAAGUUCUUGUCGGUGUGCCAUGACCAUGAAAUUUUCACUAACUUUUGAAGAAUUUCAGCUGACCUCAUCUUAUAAGACAAUGGGGGAAGAAACUUCACAGACGACCCUUUCAUCCCUCAAAGUCAGUCUUUUGUUUAUGUUUUUUCAUUUCAUCAAGUUGAUUUUAGUCUAAAAGUCUCUAAUUUUCUUUUCAAUUUUUUCGGUCCAUAAAGUAGUCUUUUUGACUCCUCAUACUUUACUUUAAUACCAUUUUUGAAAGAUAGCUUCUGAUCAUUUUAAUUUGAUUAAAAAAUUUAUUAUCAUAUCUAAUCUU
This 1716-nucleotide long non-coding RNA is filed under the name Citrus x clementina. RNAcentral's name for it is "Citrus clementina (C. clementina) long non-coding RNA (CCLE_LNC001091)". The record is from RNAcentral. Lineage: Eukaryota; Viridiplantae; Streptophyta; Magnoliopsida; Sapindales; Rutaceae.